AUACGGAGGGUGCGAGCGUUAAUCGGAAUUACUGGGCGUAAAGCGUACGUAGGCGGUUGGUUAAGUUAGAUGUGAAAGCCCCGGGCUUAACCUGGGAACUGCAUUUAAAACUGACGAACUAGAGUUGAGUAGAGGGGAGUGGAAUUUCAGGUGUAGCGGUGAAAUGCGUAGAGAUCUGAAGGAACACCAGUGGCGAAGGCGACUCCCUGGACUCGAACCGACGCUGAGGUACGAAAGCGUGGGUAGCGAACAGGAUUAGAAACCCCAGUAGUCC
This 274-nucleotide ribosomal RNA is filed under the name uncultured bacterium. RNAcentral describes it as "partial 16S ribosomal RNA". It matches the Rfam family "Bacterial small subunit ribosomal RNA", at positions 523 to 796 of the family's 1533-position model. The record is from RNAcentral.